UACAGCCACUGCUGUGCAAGAGGACAUACUGGAGCUGAUUUGGGUUUGUAAAUCAUGACCAAGUUUGCAGCAAGAAGCCUUUGAGGAUGGAAUCGAUAUAGACAGGUGGAUCUCGCAGGAGGCAGAAAAGAGAUGAAGCUGACAGAGCAAAGCAUAAAGGGGAGAAGGAACAUGGCGCAGAGAAGCAGAAGUGCUUGCAACGGGGGCUCCAAGUGAAUCACAAUAAUACUGAUGAGUGGGAAAAAAUAAGUGAGAGAGACAGAGCGGGACUGGAAUGCUGAGCCUGAAAAUGUGAAGAAACAGCUAUUUAUUGGAUGAGAGGUCACACCUGAACAUGCAGGACUAUUCAAUCAACACAGGCUGGUGGGUGGUAAAUGUAAUGUCAUUUCAUGAUACAUUUGAAACUAGUAUUUUCUCCCUCAAAAAUUGAAGAAAUGGCAUACAAGGA
Molecule: long non-coding RNA, 448 nt
Organism: Pan troglodytes (chimpanzee)
Lineage: Eukaryota; Metazoa; Chordata; Mammalia; Primates; Hominidae
Exons: 2
Source: RefSeq, a predicted model, not a curated record